RNAcentral lists this transfer RNA (75 nucleotides) under Blumeria graminis f. sp. tritici 96224. RNAcentral's name for it is "tRNA-Tyr (GTA) (tRNA-Tyr-GTA-7-1)". It matches the Rfam family "tRNA". From Rfam's summary of the family: Transfer RNA (tRNA) molecules are approximately 80 nucleotides in length. The record is from RNAcentral. RNAcentral also lists the same sequence under 2 other names. Lineage: Eukaryota; Fungi; Ascomycota; Leotiomycetes; Helotiales; Erysiphaceae.
CUCUCGGUCGUCUAGUUGGUUCAUGGCGUCCGACUGUAAAUCAGAAUGUCGCUUGUUCGACUCAUGCCUGAAAGA